AGAACGAACGCUGGCGGCAUGCCUAACACAUGCAAGUCGAACGCGUGGAGCAAUCCACGAGUGGCGGACGGGUGAGUAACGCGUGGGAACCUGCCCUGGAGUGUGGGAUAACCGAGGGAAACUUCGGCUAAUACCGCAUACGACCUGAGGGUGAAAGAUUUAUCGCUCUAGGAGGGGCCCGCGUCGGAUUAGCUAGUUGGUGGGGUAAAGGCCUACCAAGGCAGUGAUCCGUAGCUGGUCUGAGAGGAUGAUCAGCCACACUGGGACUGAGACACGGCCCAGACUCCUACGGGAGGCAGCAGUGGGGAAUAUGGACAAUGGGGGCAACCCUGAUCCAGCAAUGCCGCGUGAGUGAUGAAGGCCUUAGGGUUGUAAAGCUCUUUCGCGCGCGACGAUGAUGACGGUAGCGCGAGAAGAACGCCCCGGCUAACUUCGUGCCAGCAGCCGC
Molecule: ribosomal RNA, 448 nt
Filed under: uncultured bacterium
Lineage: Bacteria
Description: SSU rRNA
Rfam family: Bacterial small subunit ribosomal RNA
Source: RNAcentral